This 219-nucleotide ribosomal RNA is filed under the name Viannamyia furcata. RNAcentral describes it as "partial 16S ribosomal RNA". The record is from RNAcentral. Lineage: Eukaryota; Metazoa; Arthropoda; Insecta; Diptera; Psychodidae.
GAUCUUUAUAUAAUAAUUUAUUUUUAUAAAAAUAAGUUUAUUUUUUUUUAAAAGUUAAUUUAUAUUUUAUUGGGGUAAUAAUAAAAUUUUAUAAAUUUUUAUUUAUUAAUUACAAUUUUAAUUGAUUUAUUGAUCCAGUAUUAUUGAUUAUAAAGUUAAGUUACCUUAGGGAUAACAGCGUAAUGAUUUUUGAGAGUUCUUAUCGAUAAAAUAGUUUGU